AGAGAUGUGUGAUGACGCAUAUCAAUAAGCGGAGGAAAAGAAACUAACAAGGAUUCCCUUAGUAACGGCGAGUGAAGCGGGAAGAGCUCAAAUUUGAAAUCUUCAAGGUUCUACCUUGACGAAUUGUAGUUUAUAGAAGUGUUUUCUGUUAGUGGAGUGGCAAAAGUUCUUUGGAAUAGGACAUCAUAGAGGGUGAGAAUCCCGUAUUUGGUCAUUCCUCCUAAGCGUUGUGAUACACUUUCAACGAGUCGGAUUGUUUGGGAAUGCAGUCCAAAAUGGGUGGUAAAUUUCAUCUAAAGCUAAAUAUUGGCGAGAGACCGAUAGCGAACAAGUACCGUGAGGGAAAGAUGAAAAGAACUUUGAAAAGGAGAGUUAAACAGUACGUGAAAUUGUCAAAAGGGAAGCGUUUGACACCAGUGUUGUUUUUUCCGAAAAUCAAUUACGAAUGUUUUAUUUUUGAGGAGUUAUGACUUCAUCGGCUUGCUCCUUUCUUUAUGAAACUUUCUUAAUGCACUUUUCGGUUAACAAGUCGACAUCAAUUUCUUUUGUUGUAAAAGGGUAUGAGGAAGGUGGCUUUCUUUUCGGAGAAAGUGUUUAUAGCCUUGUGCCUCUGCAAUCGGAGAGAUUGAGGUCUGCAGCGUAGAUCCUUCGGGGUUAGAUACGUUUGUGCUAAGUUAUAGCUUUUCAUAGACAACUUGUUGACUAUGUUUAGUCUUGUAGCUUACUCGCUGACGCUAUUUUACCUACGCUUAGGAUGUUGAACUCUAUCACACACA
Molecule: ribosomal RNA, 776 nt
Filed under: uncultured Neocallimastigales
Lineage: Eukaryota; Fungi; Neocallimastigomycota; Neocallimastigomycetes; Neocallimastigales
Description: partial large subunit ribosomal RNA
Rfam family: Eukaryotic large subunit ribosomal RNA
Source: RNAcentral